RNAcentral lists this ribosomal RNA (1224 nucleotides) under uncultured bacterium. RNAcentral describes it as "bacterial SSU rRNA". It matches the Rfam family "Bacterial small subunit ribosomal RNA", at positions 10 to 1220 of the family's 1533-position model. The record is from RNAcentral.
AGGUUGUUCAUGGCUCAGGAUGACGGCUGGCGGCGUGCUUAACACAUGCAAGUCGAGCGAAGCAGUUAAGAAGAUUCUUCGGAUGAUUCUUAACUGACUGAGCGGCGGACGGGUGAGUAACGCGUGGGUGACCUGCCCCAUACCGGGGGAUAACAGCUGGAAACGGCUGCUAAUACCGCAUAAGCGCACAGAGCUGCAUGGCUCGGUGUGAAAAACUCCGGUGGUAUGGGAUGGGCCCGCGUCUGAUUAGGCAGUUGGCGGGGUAACGGCCCACCAAACCGACGAUCAGUAGCCGGCGUGAGAGGGCGACCGGCCACAUUGGGACUGAGACACGGCCCAAACUCCUACGGGAGGCAGCAGUGGGGAAUAUUGCACAAUGGGGGAAACCCUGAUGCAGCGACGCCGCGUGAGCGAAGAAGUAUUUCGGUAUGUAAAGCUCUAUCAGCAGGGAAGAUAAUGACGGUACCUGACUAAGAAGCCCCGGCUAACUACGUGCCAGCAGCCGCGGUAAUACGUAGGGGGCAAGCGUUAUCUGGAUUUACUGGGUGUAAAGGGAGCGUAGACGGCAAGGCAAGUCUGAUGUGAAAACCCAGGGCUUUCCCCCUGGCAGUAGCAUUCGAAACUGUCUGGCUCGAGUGUCGGAGAGGUAAGGGGAAUUCACUAGUGUAGCGGUGAAAUGCGUAGAAUAUUAAGGAAAGAACGCCCAGGAGCGAAGGCGGGGCUUACUGGACGGUAAUGGACGUUUGAAGGCUCGAAAGCGGUGGGGAGGCAAACCAGGAUUAGGAUACCCUGGUAGUCCAGGCCGUAAACGAUGAAUGCUAGGUGUUGGGGAGCAAAGCUCUUCGGUGCCGCCGCAAACGCAUUAAGCAUUUCCACCUGGGGAGUACGUUCGCAAGAAUGAAACUCAAAGGAAUUGACGGGGACCCGCACAUGCGGUGGAGCAUGUGGUUUAAUUCGAAGCAACGCGAAGAACCUUACCAGGUCUUGACAUCCCGAUGACCGGCCCGUAACGGGGCCUUCUCUUCGGAGCAUUGGAGACAGGUGGUGCAUGGUUGUCGUCAGCUCGUGUCGUGAGAUGUUGGGUUAAGUCCCGCAACGAGCGCAACCCUUAUCCUCAGUAGCCAGCAGGUCAAGCUGGGCACUCUGUGGAGACUGCCAGGGAUAACCUGGAGGAAGGUGGGGAUGACGUCAAAUCAUCAUGCCCCUUAUGAUCUGGGCUACACA